RNAcentral lists this ribosomal RNA (544 nucleotides) under uncultured Ascomycota. RNAcentral describes it as "SSU rRNA". It matches the Rfam family "Eukaryotic small subunit ribosomal RNA", at positions 548 to 1098 of the family's 1831-position model. Lineage: Eukaryota; Fungi; Ascomycota. The record is from RNAcentral.
UUGGAGGGCAAGUCUGGUGCCAGCAGCCGCGGUAAUUCCAGCUCCAAUAGCGUAUAUUAAAGUUGUUGUGGUUAAAAAGCUCGUAGUUGAACCUUGGGCCUGGCCGUCCGGUCCGCCUCACCGCGUGUACUGGCUCGGCCGGGCCUUUCCCUCUGUGGAACCCCAUGCCCUUCACUGGGUGUGGCGGGGAAACAGGACUUUUACUGUGAAAAAAUUAGAGUGCUCCAGGCAGGCCUAUGCUCGAAUACAUUAGCAUGGAAUAAUAGAAUAGGACGUGUGGUUCUAUUUUGUUGGUUUCUAGGACCGCCGUAAUGAUUAAUAGGGACAGUCGGGGGCAUCAGUAUUCAAUUGUCAGAGGUGAAAUUCUUGGAUUUAUUGAAGACUAACUACUGCGAAAGCAUUUGCCAAGGAUGUUUUCAUUAAUCAGGAACGAAAGUUAGGGGAUCGAAGACGAUCAGAUACCGUCGUAGUCUUAACCAUAAACUAUGCCGACUAGGGAUCGGACGGUGUUAUUUUUUGACCCGUUCGGCGCCUUACGGGAAAC